Non-coding RNA from Parelaphostrongylus tenuis, 75 nucleotides. Lineage: Eukaryota; Metazoa; Nematoda; Chromadorea; Rhabditida; Metastrongylidae. The record is from the annotation of a GenBank genome assembly.
GCGUCAGUAGUGCAGCGGGUUAGAGCACGGGCUGCGAACCAGAGUGAGAUACGGGUUCGAGUCCCGGCUGACGCA